Molecule: long non-coding RNA, 981 nt
Filed under: Pan troglodytes (chimpanzee)
Lineage: Eukaryota; Metazoa; Chordata; Mammalia; Primates; Hominidae
Description: long non-coding RNA NONPTRT010874
Source: RNAcentral
CUUGAUUGCAAUCCAUGGUUCCUUGGGGAGUCAGUCAGUGAGCUCAGAAGAAAUCCGUCGACUACUGAGAUUGCUGAGAGUGGAUGAAUCUGAGUCUGUUCACCCUUAUGUCACUCCCGUGACUCGAGCAAUCCUGACAAUGGCCCGAAAACUAAGUCUAGAGAGUGCCCUCCAGUAUUUCAAUUUGUCACAUAGUAUGGCAGGAAUUUCUGUGCCUCCCAUACAGAAAUGGCCAGGGUCUGCCUUUUCUUUCAGUGCUUGGUUUUGCUUAGACCAGGAUCAGUUGACUCUUGGCAUUGCUAACAAAGGAGGGAAAAGGAAACAAUUGUACAGUUUUUUUACAGGAAGUGGCGUGGGUUUUGAAGCCUUUAUUACCCAUUCAGGUAUGUUGGUCGUGGCAGUGUGCACAAAAAGAGAAUAUGCAACGGUUAUGCUUCCUGACCACAGUUUCUGUGAUUCCCUCUGGCACAACGUAACUGUUGUCCACAUGCCUGGAAAAAGGCCUUUUGGUCAGAGCUUCGUCUAUAUCUAUGACAAUGGACAACAGAAGGUUUCUGCCCCUCUCAGAUUUCCUGCCAUGAAUGAACCCUUUACUUCCUGUUGCAUUGGUUCAGCUGGGCAAAGAACCACCACUCCUCCACCAUCCCAAAUCCCAGAUCCACCUUUCUCUUCUCCCAUUACCCCUCAUCGGACAUCAUUUGGUGGAAUUCUGUCAUCAGCCUCCUGGGGAGGAACAAUUGAAAAAUCAAAAUUGAUUACCAAAUUGAUAUCAGCUGGAACCCAAGACAGUGAAUGGGGGUGUCCCACAUCUCUGCAGGGUCAGCUAGGAUCUGUUAUCAUCUUUUAUGAACCACUACAACCUCCUCAGGUGAAGGCAUUAUAUUUAGCAGGUCCAAAUUGUUUAAGCCCUUGGAAGUGUCAAGAGUCUGACAUGGCCGACCUGCCUGGUAACAUCCUUCUUUACUACACAGCAAAGGUCAG